AUACGGAGGAUGCGAGCGUUAUCCGGAUUUAUUGGGUUUAAAGGGAGCGUAGGUGGGAUAUUAAGUCAGCUGUGAAAGUUUGCGGCUCAACCGUAAAAUUGCAGUUGAUACUGGCUGUCUUGAGUACAGUAGAGGUGGGCGGAAUUCGUGGUGUAGCGGGGAAAUGCUUAGAUAUCACGAAGAACUCCGAUUGCGAAGGCAGCUCACUGGACUGCAACUGACACUGAUGCUCGAAAGUGUGGGUAUCAAACAGGAUUAGAUACCCUGGUAGUCCACACAGUAAACGAUGAAUACUCGCUGUUUGCGAUAUACAGUAAGCGGCCAAGCGAAAGCAUUAAGUAUUCCACCUGGGGAGUACGCCGGCAACGGUGAAACUCAAAUGAAUUGGCGGGG
Molecule: ribosomal RNA, 393 nt
Filed under: uncultured bacterium
Lineage: Bacteria
Description: partial 16S ribosomal RNA
Rfam family: Bacterial small subunit ribosomal RNA
Source: RNAcentral